This 4839-nucleotide small RNA is filed under the name Theobroma cacao (cacao). RNAcentral describes it as "sRNA Tc02v2_g001820". Lineage: Eukaryota; Viridiplantae; Streptophyta; Magnoliopsida; Malvales; Malvaceae. The record is from RNAcentral.
UUUGAUUAAAGCCCUUAGGGGCAAAGCCCCAUAUAAUAAGACUGGUUUUUUAGUCUUUCUAAAGCCAAAGUCGUUGGCCACCUCCUUGACCUGCUCUUCUGCCUUCUCCCUUGAUCCUCAAAGGGAUUCCGGUGGGUUAAUCAGAUCCAGCUCUAAAGCCAAUUCGUCGGUCGGCAAAAUUCAACCUUUUCCAACAAGAUAUGUAGCUAACUAUCUGCUUGUCUCAUCCUAAUCACUUUUAUUUCUUAAUCAAAAUAGCUUGAAGCUUCCACAAAGCUCUUCAGAUUUAUCUUCGUUUUUCAACUCCAACAUGGUAUCAGAGCAGGAACUGGGGUUUCUGGUAUGAGUUCUUGAUCCCUUUCUUUAAUUGAUGAUUGAAAGUUCGGUUAAGGUAGGUUUAAUUCCUGUUUAGUAUCAUUUCUUGUUGAUUUCUGGUGAUUCUUGCUUAUUUUUGUUGAGAUUCUUGAUUGCUUUUUGAGAAAUGAAUAGUUUGACUAUUCAACAAAAUACCACAUCUGCCAUUGAAGAUUCACAAUCUCCCUAUUUCUUACAUCACACUGAUCAUCACGGAUCGGUUGUGAUUACUCUUAAACUCACAUGUAACAACUAUGUAGCUUGGAGUAGAUCGUUCAUACUUGCUCUUUCGAUUAGAAUAAAGUAAGGUUAUAGAUGGAACCAAUCCUAAACCAAAUACCAUUGAUCCAUUGUUUAGGCCAUAGAUUUGUUGUUAAUUUCAGCGUGGCUCCUAGAAUCAAUAACACCUCUUAUUGCUUCCAUUGUGUUUUACAUGGAUUCAAUUGCCGAAUUUUGAAAUACUUUAAAGCUAAAUUUUACUCAACCAGAUGACACGAGGGUUUGUGACCUCCAAUAUAAUUUUGGUAAUGUUUCUCAAGGCAAUAGAUAUGUAGAUUCAUAAUUCACUGAGCUUAAAGGUAUUUGGGAAAAGUUGAAGAAUUACAGGCCCUUGCUACAAAGUGAGUGUGGGAAAUGCAACUCAGCAUGUAAUAAAAAGUAUUUUGACUAGUACAAGAAAGAUAUGGUCGUCAGGUUUAUCAAUGGGCUAAAUGAUACAUUUUCAGCUUUCAGAACUCAAAUCACUGUCAUGAAACCUUUCCCCACUUUAGAUAAGGUGUACAAUUUAGUUCUAUGAGUAGAAAACUAGAGGAGUUUUUUGUUGCAAUCUAAUCCUUUGAUUGAGUCAUCUGCAAUGGUAGUGACUGCUGAUAAUAAGAGGAAAGGAAAACCAAAUAUAACUUGCAACCACUGGCAAAAAGGGACACAUAAAGGAAAAAUGUUUUAGACUGAUAGGUUUUCCUAACGACUUUAAGUUUACAAAGGAUAAGGACAAAGGAAGCUUUGAGAAAUAGAAUUCUUUUGUGAAUACUGUUUUUGCUAUUACUAGUUCAACUUCAUCUGCAAAAGGAACAACAUAGCCAAGCCAAGAAGAGGAGUUUGGUGGUUCUAAUUCUAUGUCCCAGAUGUCUAUCAUAAAGCAACAACUUCAAAAGAAAAUGGCGCUCCUUAAUGUUGACAAUUCUGAAAUUAAUUGAGGUAUUCUGUCAAACGCUUAGCAAACUUCUUCAUCAGUCAAUUCCACUGUUGCAGGUAUUUUUUCUGACCACUUUUGUUCUUGUAUAGCUCAGAAUACUUCCACUAAAGAUAAAUGCACUCAUAGCAUCCUGGUUAAACCAAAUUCCUGGAUAAUGGAUACAGGAACAACUGAUCAUAUUUCAUGUUCCUUAAAAACUUUCACUCAUGCUUAUCCUGUUUAUAAUUUCUUUGUUCAACUAGCUAACAAUCUUCAAGCUAUUGUCACGCAUAUAAGAACUGUCGAAUUAACAUUCUUGUUGUAUUGCAUAAUGUGUUUUGUGCACCCUCUUUUCAAUUCAAUCUUGUUUCAGUGAGCGAACUAACAAGUUCUAGGAAGAAUUGUGUCAUUUUCACUGAUGAGUGUUGUGUUGUUCAAGACCUCACAUCUUGGAAAGUGACUACGGUUGCUAAAGUCUCUUCUAGCCUAUAUUUCAUACAAGACAAUCAAGAUGAUCAAUAUUUGUCAAAGUUUAGUCUUGAUAAAAUUGUAAAUUUUUCUUCUAUUGUUUUUGCAAAUCAUUGUAAAACAAUUCAAACUCAAUUUGAUCUUUGGUACUUUAGACUUGAUCAUAUACCUACAAACAGAAUAAAUGUGUUACAUCAAAAAUAUCUUGAGAUUCAUUGUUCUGAUACUUUGAUAUGAGAUGUCUAUCCUUUAGCUAAACAAAAAAAAAAUUACCAUUUCCUAUUCAUGUUACCAAUACUAGUUCUGCGUUUGAAAUUGUUCAUUUUGAUAUCUGGGAACCAUAUAGCAUUCCUACUCUUGAUGGUCAUCAUUAUUUUUUUACUUCAGUUAAUGAUUUCAGAAGAUUCACUUGGAUUUUUUUAUGAGGAAUAAAUCUGAAGUAUCUGUCAUUGUUCAGUAUUUUUACAAUCUUGUUAAGAAUUAGUUUUCAACUAAAAUCAGGUGCAUUAGGUCAGACAAUGGUAAUAAAUUUAGGCUUAGUGAUUUUUUUAAUUCCACAGGUAUUGUUCAUCAUUUGUCUUGUAAUGAAACUCUUAAACAAAAUGGUGUUGUUGAACGUAAACAUCAACAUCUUCUUGUUGUAGCCAGAGCUCUUUUACAUCAGUCAAGUUUAUCACUUAAAAUUCUAGGGAAAUGCAGUUCUUAUAAUAGCACACAUUAUAAAUCGAACACCCUCUAGGCUUCUUCAUGAUAAAUCCCCGUAUGAAUGUCUUUAUAAUAAACCACCUUGCUAUAACUAUUUAAGGGUAUUUGGUAAUUUGUGUUAUGCAUCAACUUUAGUACAACAUAGAACUAAGUUUGAUAAAAGGGCUAGUAAAUGUGUCGUUUUAGGUUAUCCAAAUGGCACAAAAGGUUUUGAGGUCUAUGAUAUUGAUGCAAAUAAAGUACUCAUUUCCAAGAAUGUAAUCUGCCAUGAGCACAUCCUUUCUUUUCAACAUAUAAAGCAUACCACAUAUCAUUUUACAUUUCCUCAAAUAAUUGGUAUGCAUGAUCCAAUGUUUGAUUUUUUUUUAUUUCAAUUAUGUUAAUUCUUCUUCACUUGCUUCAUUAUCUGUUGAGUCACCUGUUUCUCAACCUUCUUUACAUAAUGACAUUGCUUUUACAUCAGAAACUCUUAUUUCCUUGCAAAAUUCACCUGUUUCCCAUUCUGUUUCAGAUUCUGCUUUUUCAGUUUCACUGCAUUUUGCUAAUCUUAAUUCUAAUCUUAGGAAAAGUAUUAAAGUUAAACAUACUCCUAAGUACUUAGAAGCUUAUCAAGUAAAUCUUCCUUCUUCCAUAAGUCAUGUUACAACAUAUCCUAUCACUCAUUAUUUGUUUAGUAAUCAAUUGUCACCCAAAUAUAAAGCCUUCAUUUCUGCCUUGUCUCAAACAUUUGAACCUUCAUCCUACAAUCAAGCUGUCACAUGAGCGUAUUGGGGGAGUAUCAAGGUUUUCUAUUAAGGGGGAGUAUCAUCAACUUGGUAAGCAGCAACUGGUAUGCAAACUGCAUAAAUCCCUAUAUGGACUCAAACAAGCUUCAAGACAAUGAAAUUCAAAGUUCACUUCUACACUUUUGGAAUGUGGUUUUAAUUACAGACAAAGGUGAAUUUGUUGCCCUGUUGGUUGAUGUUGAUGCCACAGGAUACAGGCAACUGAUAGGGAAAUUACUUUAUUUGACCUUUACAAGGCUUGAUAUUUCAUAUGCUGUUCAAAUAUUGUCUCAAUUCAUGGAUGCACCAACUGAAAAUCACGUAGAUGCAGCUCACAGGGUGUUAAAAUAUUUGAAAACAUCUCCAAGGCAAGGGAUAUUAAUGAGUUCUGAUUCAAAUUUGAAACUCAUUGCCUAUUGUGACAAUGAUUGGUCAAGUUGCCCAGAUAUAAGAAAGUUUGUAACAAGAUAGAGUGUUUUUCUUGGUAAUUCUCUAGCAGGUUGGAAUCCAAGAAACAACAGAAUGUUGCAAGGAGUUCACCUGAAGUUGAGUACAAGUCAAUGGCUUCAACAACCUGUGAAAUCAUUUGGAUAAGAAAUCUUUUGAUAGAUCUUGGAUUUCCUCAAGACACUCUAGUAAAACUACAUGUGACAAUCAAUCAGCGAUUUAUAUUUUUAGGAAUUCUAUAUUCCAUGAGUGUAUUAAACACAUAGAGAUUGACUGUCAUUUUGUUAGGGAGAAAGUGCUUGCAAAGAUAAUCGAGCCAGUCCAUAUUUCUACUCAUGAACAAGUUGCAGAUUUAUUGAGUAAGGCUAUGCGACCAAGGCACUUCUAUAGACUGCUUGACAAGAUGCACAUUAUUAACAUACAUGUACAUCUUCAGGGGGAGUAUCAACCUGAUAAGGAGCUGAUAGUUGAGGAUCAAGAGAGAAAAUCUCGACUGGGUUGAAGAACUUGGGAAUCCAAAAAAAGAAAAGAGAGCACGUGUAAAUCACAUGCUCUAUAAGAAACAAAAGAAAGCUCGUGUUUUUUAUUUUUACUUUUACAUUUAGUGUUUACUAAAUUGUAAAUAUUAGUUAAUUAGUGAUUUUUUUUUUUUUUACUUCAGUUAGUUAGAUGAUGAAAACAGAGUAAAUACUCUGGUGUACAGCUUUUAUUUGUUAAUAAAAAUAGCUUGAAACUUCCACAAAACUCUUCAGAUUUAUCUUCGUUUUUCAACUCCAACAAAAAAAAAUUAAAAUCAAAUAUGUAUUAAUUAAUAAUAAAAAUAUUAAUACUUUUAAAAAAAUGAAAAAAAAUAUAAAUAUGUGACAAUUUAUGAGAGUUAAGGUAAAAGAUGAAAAUAGAUCAGUUGGAUUCUUUGCAUGGAAAAAA